Ameiurus melas (black bullhead) is the source of this 71-nucleotide non-coding RNA. The record is from the annotation of a GenBank genome assembly. Lineage: Eukaryota; Metazoa; Chordata; Actinopteri; Siluriformes; Ictaluridae.
CGCACGGUGGAUUAGUGGUUAGAACGUUCGCCUCACACCUCCAGGGUCGGGGUUUGAGUCCCACUGUGUCC